AUUGAACGCUGGCGGAAUGCUUUACACAUGCAAGUCGAACGGCAGCACGGGGGCAACCCUGGUGGCGAGUGGCGAACGGGUGAGUAAUACAUCGGAACGUGCCCGGUCGUGGGGGAUAACGUAGCGAAAGUUACGCUAAUACCGCAUACGAUCUGAGGAUGAAAGCGGGGGACCUUCGGGCCUCGCGCGAUCGGAGCGGCCGAUGUCAGAUUAGGUAGUUGGUGGGGUAAAGGCCUACCAAGCCGACGAUCUGUAGCUGGUCUGAGAGGACGACCAGCCACACUGGGACUGAGACACGGCCCAGACUCCUACGGGAGGCAGCAGUGGGGAAUUUUGGACAACGGGCGCAAGCCUGAUCCAGCCAUUCCGCGUGCAGGACGAAGGCCUUCGGGUUGUAAACUGCUUUUGUAUGGAACGAAAAGGCUCUGGCUAAUACCUGGGGCUCAUGACGGUACCGUAAGAAUAAGCACCGGCUAACUACGUG
RNAcentral lists this ribosomal RNA (484 nucleotides) under uncultured bacterium. RNAcentral describes it as "partial 16S ribosomal RNA". It matches the Rfam family "Bacterial small subunit ribosomal RNA", at positions 30 to 507 of the family's 1533-position model. The record is from RNAcentral.